GCCCCUGUAGCUCAGUGGAAAGAGCGUCCGGCUACGAACCGGAAAGGCGGCAGGUUCGACUCCUGCCAGGGGUA
RNAcentral lists this transfer RNA (74 nucleotides) under Actinoplanes xinjiangensis. Its description in RNAcentral is "tRNA-Arg". It matches the Rfam family "tRNA". Rfam says of the family: Transfer RNA (tRNA) molecules are approximately 80 nucleotides in length. Their secondary structure includes four short double-helical elements and three loops (D, anti-codon, and T loops). Lineage: Bacteria; Bacillati; Actinomycetota; Actinomycetes; Micromonosporales; Micromonosporaceae. The record is from RNAcentral.